GUUUUUAUAUUUUUAGAUUAAAAAAGCUAUAACUACUAUUUGUACUACACAUGUAUCACCAUCUCCUCGCCGAACUAGUGCACCUAUACAAUUUGCCAUUGUAUUGGGUGUGUUGGGGAAACAAGAGAUUUCUUGUAUUUGAUUGCAGGGUUGUUUGAGAGAGACCAUCUUUUUAUAAACAUUAGGUCAUCCACUUUAGGAAAUUUGUUGUUUUCCUACAAAACUCUACACUUCGAG
This 237-nucleotide long non-coding RNA is filed under the name Hordeum vulgare. RNAcentral describes it as "long non-coding RNA (HVUL_LNC019985)". Lineage: Eukaryota; Viridiplantae; Streptophyta; Magnoliopsida; Poales; Poaceae. The record is from RNAcentral.